AGAUAUCCAUCGGAGGUGGAGAGUUUGGUCCCUACUGCUUUGGGUAUUCAGAGAGUGCUUUCUUUUCUGCAAGUAGCGGAGAACAGCAAGGAGUGGAGGAUCCCAGACACAGAAUACACUUGUGAUGCAAGAUGAAUUCCUGAGGCAGGAGAUUUACAAGGACCAGUAAUGAGUAUUACUCACUAAGAUCAUUAAGUAAGUAUUGUAUAUUUUUGGUGUAGUAGUGCCUGAAAGCCUCAAUCACACUCCUAUUUAUGAGCACACCUCAUACCUGUAGUGUGAGUACUUCUGAGGAGCAUCCUGUGCUCUGAAAAAACAAGGUAACCAGCAAACAAAACUUCCACUACUAUUGUCCACCUGGGAGGGAGCCUCAAAGACAUCCAGUGAGGACAGCUCUGUCUGCAGUGAUGGGGAUACGCAGGGCUG
Molecule: long non-coding RNA, 426 nt
Organism: Neopelma chrysocephalum (saffron-crested tyrant-manakin)
Lineage: Eukaryota; Metazoa; Chordata; Aves; Passeriformes; Pipridae
Exons: 4
Source: RefSeq, a predicted model, not a curated record